RNAcentral lists this long non-coding RNA (761 nucleotides) under Pan troglodytes (chimpanzee). RNAcentral's name for it is "long non-coding RNA NONPTRT001166". Lineage: Eukaryota; Metazoa; Chordata; Mammalia; Primates; Hominidae. The record is from RNAcentral.
GAUGGAUUGGGCUGCUCUCCCCUACAGUUUUAUAUAUGCUUGCCAAAGAAGUAAGACCUCUGUACUGAUAAGAGUAAGAUAAGUCUAAAUGUUUCUUACAGACAAAGUUGACAAGAUUCAAAAGUGGUUUGGGUAAAAGAGACUCAAUCCUAGAGGGGCAUUUGAUUCCAAAAGGGAAGAAGACGUACUUCAUCUGGAACAUCAUGAAGUCACAGAAGAACUUCACAAGUGUUCCGAUCAGAAGGGAGCCCUUUGAGUAAGUGAAAUGAAGCAUGAAUAACUGCCUAAUUAGUGGACAUGAAAACUGGACAGUCUCCAAAGUCAUCAGAGAUGACCACGCUUGCCAGGCAACUUACUAGACUAAGGGUGGUGUCUCAAGACAUUCAAGGUGCUCAGUGAGUGCAGACUAUGCAGAAGAAGUGACACAGAAGCCUGAUGGAGGUGAUGAUACCCAGUGGCCAUGGGACUUUGUCAGCAAAGGCAGUGAUAAACAGCAUGAGAGGUGACGUGCCCAUCAUGCAGGAAGCUUCUCCGAGGCUGGCGAGAGCAACUUGUCUGCUUUGAGAAAUGCAGAUCUAUCAGGAUCCAGAAUCGGACUCUGAAAAAGCUGUCAUUUCAUGUCUCUAAAACAGCCUUUGAUUUAAUGUACAAGAUGUCAAGAAGUAAAGGACAAUAAAAUAAAAACCAAAAAAGGAGAACUAUUUCAAUUAAGAAGCAUUUCUAUAUCAAUUCUUGGAAAUCACAUAAAAUAAAAGCUGUCA